GAAAAGGACAUCUUUUCUGGGUGUUAGUUCUAGAAGGUCUUGUAGGUCUUCAUAGAACCGUUCAACUUCAGCUUCUUCAGCAUUAUUGGCCGGGGCAUAGACUUGUAUAACCAUGAUAUUGAAUGCUGUGCCUUGAAAACAAACAG
Molecule: long non-coding RNA, 146 nt
Organism: Cervus elaphus (red deer)
Lineage: Eukaryota; Metazoa; Chordata; Mammalia; Artiodactyla; Cervidae
Exons: 3
Source: RefSeq, a predicted model, not a curated record